Molecule: ribosomal RNA, 413 nt
Filed under: uncultured bacterium
Lineage: Bacteria
Description: bacterial SSU rRNA
Rfam family: Bacterial small subunit ribosomal RNA
Source: RNAcentral
AUUGAACGCUGGCGGCAUGCCUUACACAUGCAAGUCGAACGGCAGCACGGGAGCAAUCCUGGUGGCGAGUGGCGAACGGGUGAGUAAUAUAUCGGAACGUGCCCGGUCGUGGGGGAUAACGUAGCGAAAGCUACGCUAAUACCGCAUACGAUCUACGGAUGAAAGCGGGGGAUCGCAAGACCUCGCGCGAUUGGAGCGGCCGAUAUCAGAUUAGGUAGUUGGUGAGGUAAAGGCUCACCAAGCCGACGAUCUGUAGCUGGUCUGAGAGGACGACCAGCCACACUGGGACUGAGACACGGCCCAGACUCCUACGGGAGGCAGCAGUGGGGAAUUUUGGACAAUGGGCGCAAGCCUGAUCCAGCAAUGCCGCGUGCAGGAUGAAGGCCUUCGGUGUAACUGCUUUGUACGGUACG